GUGUCAGCCGCCGCGGUAAUACGAAGGGGGCUAGCGUUGCUCGGAAUGACUGGGCGUAAAGGGCGCGUAGGCGGAUUGUACAGUCAGACGUGAAAUUCCUGGGCUCAACCUGGGGGCUGCGUUUGAUACGUAUAGUCUUGAGUGAGGAAGAGGGUUGUGGAAUUCCCAGUGUAGAGGUGAAAUUCGUAGAUAUUGGGAAGAACACCGGUGGCGAAGGCGGCAACCUGGUCCUUUACUGACGCUGAGGCGCGAAAGCGUGGGGAGCAAACAGGAUUAGAAACCCGGGUAGUCC
RNAcentral lists this ribosomal RNA (292 nucleotides) under uncultured bacterium. RNAcentral describes it as "partial 16S ribosomal RNA". It matches the Rfam family "Bacterial small subunit ribosomal RNA", at positions 505 to 796 of the family's 1533-position model. The record is from RNAcentral.